Fukomys damarensis (Damara mole-rat) is the source of this 120-nucleotide ribosomal RNA. The record is from Ensembl. NCBI's taxonomy places the organism in Eukaryota, Metazoa, Chordata, Mammalia, Rodentia, Bathyergidae.
AUCUAUGUCCAUGCCACCCUGAAUGUGCCUGAUCUCCUCUGACCUCAGAAGCUAAGCAGGGUUGGGCCUGGCUUAGUGUGGGAGAGAUUACUUGAGUGGGAGAGAUGCUUGCCAAGGAUG